Long non-coding RNA from Macrobrachium nipponense, 378 nucleotides. RefSeq lists it as uncharacterized. Lineage: Eukaryota; Metazoa; Arthropoda; Malacostraca; Decapoda; Palaemonidae. The record is from RefSeq and is a predicted model, not a curated record. The transcript has 3 exons.
CCACCUGGAUGUGCUCUGCCUCCUACGACUGAUUUGUUCAUCAUCGUCUCGACUUUGAUUCACCUUAGUGGAUGAUUUGUGGAGAAAAGUCACGUUCUCCUAAGCAUUGACUUCAAUCCCUUCUUGCUCGGAUGGACUACGUGGUUUCGCAACUCUACUGAAGGUUGUUCAUGGGUUUAUUGUACAUAGUGGUAUGGAGGAGAAGCUGAUUAUUGAAGAGGAAGAGCCCUGUGUCAUGCACUUGACACAUUUGCAAUAAAUAAUAAAUUUAAACAUUUCAAAGGUGUAUGAAUUGACUUCCCUUCAGUAUUUUUAAGUACCUUAUAAGGUGACUUCAUAGUUUUUCAGCUUAUGGCGCCCAACGUGGGGCAACGACGA